Molecule: ribosomal RNA, 763 nt
Filed under: uncultured bacterium
Lineage: Bacteria
Description: bacterial SSU rRNA
Rfam family: Bacterial small subunit ribosomal RNA
Source: RNAcentral
GUCGAACGCGAAAGUCCCGCAAGGGAUUAGUAGAGUGGCAAACGGGUGAGUAACACGUGGGUGACCUGCCUUCGAGUGGGGGAUAACGUCCCGAAAGGGACGCUAAUACCGCAUGACAUCCUGCCUUUGAAGAGGUGGAGCUUAAAGCUGGGGAUCGCAAGACCUGGCGCUUGAAGAGGGGCCCGCGCCUGAUUAGCUAGUUGGUGAGGUAACGGCUCACCAAGGCAUCGAUCAGUAUCCGGCCUGAGAGGGCGGACGGACACACUGGGACUGAGACACGGCCCAGACUCCUACGGGAGGCAGCAGUGGGGAAUUGUUCGCAAUGGGCGCAAGCCUGACGACGCAACGCCGCGUGGAGGAUGAAGAUCUUCGGGUCGUAAACUCCUUUCGAUCGAGACGAACGACUUCCGGGUGAAUAGUCCGGAAGAGUGACGGUACCGAGAGAAGAAGCCCCGGCUAACUCCGUGCCAGCAGCCGCGGUAAUACGGGGGGGGCAAGCGUUGUUCGGAAUUACUGGGCGUAAAGGGCUCGUAGGCGGCCAACUAAGUCAGACGUGAAAUCCCUCGGCUUAACCGGGGAACUGCGUCUGAUACUGGAUGGCUUGAGAUUGGGAGAGGGAUGCGGAAUUCCAGGUGUAGCGGUGAAAUGCGUAGAUAUCUGGAGGAACACCGGUGGCGAAGGCGGCAUCCUGGACCAACACUGACGCUGAGGAGCGAAAGCCAGGGGAGCAAACGGGAUUAGAUACCCCGGUAGUCCUGGCCCU